AAAAUAUGAGUCAAGAAAGAUGUGAUAACCUGCUUUUUGUUAGCUUAAACGGACUCUUUCUUAGCUGAGAGCUGUUCAGGCUUCAUGUUAGCUUCUUGAGCCAGACAGACUCCACCUUAGUGUAUUCGUUUUAGUUAUUCCC
Sapajus apella (tufted capuchin) is the source of this 142-nucleotide long non-coding RNA. RefSeq lists it as uncharacterized. The record is from RefSeq and is a predicted model, not a curated record. Lineage: Eukaryota; Metazoa; Chordata; Mammalia; Primates; Cebidae. The transcript has 3 exons.